GUUCCACACUAUGCAUAAUUUUACAAACUUGGUUAGAGCAUGGUGCUGAUGAUGCCAAGGUCGCAGGUUCGAUCCCUGUGAGGGACA
Non-coding RNA from Podarcis lilfordi (Lilford's wall lizard), 87 nucleotides. The record is from the annotation of a GenBank genome assembly. Lineage: Eukaryota; Metazoa; Chordata; Lepidosauria; Squamata; Lacertidae.